RNAcentral lists this long non-coding RNA (230 nucleotides) under Pan troglodytes (chimpanzee). RNAcentral describes it as "long non-coding RNA NONPTRT002383". Lineage: Eukaryota; Metazoa; Chordata; Mammalia; Primates; Hominidae. The record is from RNAcentral.
CUUGAACUCCUGGGCUCAAGCAAUCCGCCUGCCCCAGCCUCCCGAAGUGUUGGGAUUACAAGCGUGAGCCAUUGCACCAGGACCCAGGACUUUGAAUCUGGAACAAAUGAGAAAAUAAACAAGAGAAAGUUAGAAUCCGAAUGCAGUGGUAGCAGUGGUAAUAUCUAGCAGAAACAGCAGUGUCCUGGCAAGACUAUUACAACUAAAACACUGUAGCUAUAUAUUCAAUU